Molecule: long non-coding RNA, 6232 nt
Filed under: Homo sapiens (human)
Lineage: Eukaryota; Metazoa; Chordata; Mammalia; Primates; Hominidae
Description: non-protein coding lnc-ZNF366-6:4
Source: RNAcentral
AAAUCCAACUUUUAAACGCUUUGUGAACAGGCCCAGAGGCAAAGUCCUGGGCGCAAACCCACGAGCCGAGCUGCGAGGCUGAGAGGAAGUGCUAGUCCAGCCCAACCCCGCACUGGAUUUGGUGUGGAAACCGUCAGAGGUAAAAGGGAUCGCUCAGAUGGGGGGCCCGCGGUGAGGGCAGGAGGCAAAACCCCACCGCCCGGCGCUCCCAGCCAGCGCGCAGCGGGAGGCGGCUGUGCCGCGGGCCCGUCCUUCGCGUCCGAGCUGCCGCGCACGCCCCGCGCGGAGCGCGGCACCGGGAGCCUCCGGUGGGGCUGGGUCCCGUCUCCCGCCCCAUCCGGCGCUUUGUCCCAGCCCCGGUGGCCGGCGGCCCCGCUGCGGGCCCCCGGGCCGCGGUGACAGCCCCCGUCCCCAUAGGGCUGCGAGCCCGGGAGUCCCUAUAGGCUGGCGACCGGUCGCCCGCCGGACCUCACCCAGGCGGGACGCGGCAGGAGGACGCUCGCCCUGCCGGAGGGGCCGCCGCCGCCGCCCGAAGCGCACGCAGGCCAAGCUCAGGCGCCAAAAGCCUUGGACUUCGAAACACACGACUUCCAACAUCCUAAGCUUACCCAAAAAUUCUCGACGAAAUACGCCAUGACCAUCGUGCCGCCGCCGCGCCGGGUUCCGCGUCCGCGCCCGCCCGCCGCUGUGUAAACACGGCCCGGCCCCCACAGCACCCCCGCCUUUCGCCGCCGCCGCCUUCUUCCCAGAGACCGGCCCGCACCUUCCAGGGCGCAUGCGCCACCUAGCGGCUGCCGCAGCUGGGCGAGCACUUAGACGCCACGGCCACGGUGUGCGCAUGCGCCCUGUCCCCAUUCUCGGGUGUUGGUAGAUCUCUCUGCAUCCCGGGCGCGGCUGGGUUGAGUGUUCUCUUAGGAAUGGUGGAGAACUGGGUCCUUGAGGAGUCACCGGGGAGACUGCUCGCACUGUUUGUGGUGCGACGGGCACUGGCCCAGGGACAGAGGGAAGAGAAGGGCCAGCCAGCGGCAGUGGAGUCGGCAGGCUGGCUGCCCACUCGCUUUCUCUCCUCACAAGACUCGCUUCCCCGGCCUUCGAGGAUCUCGAACGGACUAUAGUCUGGACUCGCUGGGCUGGAGGAAACUUGGCCGCUGGCCACCCGGAGGAGACUGAGAAGCCUUUGGUCAACAGGGCGCCUUUCCUUGAACCAAAACAAAACUUUCCGAAGCCGGAAAGGAAACGCCCAGUGUCGCCUGAGAGCCCUGGAGCUGCGCGAGACCCAGGCACUGAGUGCGGCCUCGGCCUCUGACCUCUAACACGCCGGGAACAAACCAGCUGGGGCGGCCCGCAGGCCUGCGGGAGCGGAAUGUGACCCGAAACCGACGGACUUCCUGACCCAUAGUCCAUAGUUCUCUUCAGCAACUUGAACAUUUUGGAAAAAGAAACAAGUCUUAACAUGCCACGACCUAAUGGAAAAACUAAAUCCCCUUCCUACACCUUGCUUUCCAAAAGUUAAAAAAAAAUAGUUAAACGCUAUUAGAGGUCUCAAGUUCACUGUCACCAGAUCAGCUAGGUCCAGAAUCUUCAGUUCUUGAAGCCAAGCCCUACAAAUAGAUUUAUUGUAGCAUAUCACACCUCUUCAGGUGACUUAAAACAAUGAGAAUUCAUGAGAAAUUAUCUUCAUCCUCAAGUAAAAAUCAUGAGGUGCCUUUCACAUGGAUGAAAUUGCCCUGCUGUCUCAUGUUUCGUCAACAGGAAGAAAAAUACGUCUUCAAGUUUGUUUUGUUUGUUUGAGAUGGAAUCUCGCUAUGUCGCCCAGGCUGGAGGUGCAGUGGCGCGAUCUCGGCUCACUGCAACCUCCGCCUCCUGGAUUCAAGCGAUUCUCCUGCCUCAGCCUCCCGAGUAGCUGGGACUACAGACGCCCGCCACCAUGCCCGGCUAAUUUUUUUGUAUUUUUAGUAGAGACGGGGUUUCACUGUGUUAGCCAGGAUGGUCUGGAUCUCCUGACCUCAUGAUCCGCCUGCCUUGGUCUUCCAAAGUGCUGGGAUUACAGGCAUGAGCCACCGCACUCGGCUGUCUUCAUGUUUUAUCUUAUCUUCCCUGACGCCUAUAUUUCUGAUUUGUGUUCUUUUAAUUCAUGACAAUUUGUUUAGUCUCAACUUUUAUUUGCUCUAUGGUGAGAAUGCUUUAUCUACUAUUUGUUUUGCGGGGGCGGGGGCUGGGUAUUCCCAUCUUUUCUUUUUUUUACAGUUCCUAUGCUAGUUUUUAUUUUAUUUUAGGUCAACUUUAAAUAAGGUGAGUUCUUAUCUAUUUACUGGAGUUUUGUAUGAGAGAGGCCAAGAUGGUAUUCAUGGUCAGCAGAAACUCUCCUCAUGAGACAGGGUUAUGUGCUACGUGUGUGAAUAAACUUUAUGUUUUGCUUCUCUGCAGCCUCCUUGAGAUCAGCACCAAUGGGAUGUCACAAUGCAGACUCUCUCCCCCACUCUUUCCUCAACUACAGACUACUUCCUGAAAAAUAUGAUUAGUUUAUGAUAUUUCUUGCUCAAAUCCGCUUCCUCAGCUUUUUCUCAGUACCAAACUGUCCAGAAAAGUUCCCACCACCGGAACCUCAUUCCAUUGUUGCAAACAAAGAGAUUAUUGAUUUUUCAUCUUAGGCUAUGCACUUCACGUUAGAGUCAUGGAUUCUGCUGGCUCUGUACAUUUCUGUUUGAUCUUCACUGCUUUUGGCAGACUUUUUUUCUGUUUUAGUUUCAAAUAUCUUCUAGUUGCAUCAGAUAUAGAGUUGACAUUACCGUUUCUUAUUCUUCUUAUUACUUUUGGGUGGCUAGGCAGUAAAGACCUAUGUUCUUUGCCAUAUUAAUACCUAGAUAAGAUCAGAAGAUGAUUUUGCAUUAAUUCUGCCUGGCAUUUAGUAGACUCUUCCAAUCCAAGUCUGGGAAAUGUUCUUUUUUUAUUUCUUUGAUAAUUGUCUCCCUUUUAUUCUUACAGUCCUAUAGCUGUAUAAUUUUAGUUAUAUUUAUCUUCUGUAUCUCUUAAUAUUGCUGUACUUUUUCUUUUUCUUUUUUUCUUUGAGACAGAGUCUUGCUCUGUUGCCCAGGCUGGAGUGCAGUGGCACAAUCUCGGCUCACUGCCCAGCUCUGCCUCCCGGGUUCACACCAUUCUUCCCCCUCAGCCUCUGAGUAUCUGGGACUGCAGACGCCCGCCACCAUGCCCAGAUAAUUUUUUUAUAUUUUUAGUAGAGACGGGGUUUCACCAUGUUAGCCAGGAUGGUCUCGAUCUCCUGACCUCAUGAUCCGCCCGUCUCUGCCUCCCAAAGUGCUGGGAUUACAGGCAUGAGCCACCACGCCUGGCCUAUUGCUGUACUUUUUCUUUUGUUCUUUUUUUUUCUUUUUUGCAUAAAUUUUGGAAAAGUCUCUCAGCUCAAUUUUCCAACUCAUUAAUUGUAUAUUCAGGUUAGGGUAAGGGUUAUUGUAUAUUUAGCCCAAUUAUUGGAUUUAGUCAUUUUUUUUUUUCUUUGAGAAGGAUUCUCACUCCAUCACCCAGACUGGAGUGCAGUGGCGCAAUAUCGGCUCACUGCAAUCUCUGCCUCCUGGGUUCAAGCAAUUCUCUUGCCUCAGCCUCCUGAGUAGCUGGGAUUACAGGCACCUGCCACCACGCCUAAGUUUUGUAUUUUUAGUAGAGACGGGGUUUCACCAUGUUGGCCAGGCUAGUCUUGAACUCCUGACCUCAGAUGAUCCACCCGCCUCAGCCUCCAAAAGUGCUGGGAUUACAGGCAUGAGCCACCAUGCCUGGCCGCAAUAAUAUUUUAAAAUUUCCAUGAAUUCUGGUUGUGUUUCAUAGCAGCUGUCUCUUGUUUCAAUGUGAUUUACUUUAAAGCAACUCUGAGGAUCUGAACUAUGUUUAAUUUCAAGUUUUUAUCUGUUUCUAUUGACUAUUCUUUUUAAGUGGGCUAGUUCUAUUUGUUAAAUUUGGUGCUCUCUUUAGUGCUCUUGGUUUCUCCAAAUGUUUGUUGGUUCUUUUGUUGUUGUUGUUCCAUUUGUAGGAACAGAAUUUCAGUCUAGACUGAAAUUCAUAGCUGGACGCAUUUCCUCACUUCAAAUGAGAACUCAUGUUUACCUGGCAGUGAAUGCAAGUUUUGAUUACAAGAAUCUGCCUCAUGGGAUUUGGUAGGGAUAGGCAGACUCUGUAGGUAACGUCUCUUCUUAGAAUAGUUUCCUGACCCUCCAGGGUAUUGUCCUUUUCCUCUGACCUUAGCUUACUCUGGAACAGUAAUAUGUUGGUAAAUGUUUGACAGCCAGCUCUGGGUGGAGUGGGGGAAGUCCUAGUUUGCAGCAUUUCCUGAUUUCCAUGCAAUGUAAAAUCUCCCACCCUAGCCAAUUUUCAAGCUAGCAACAUAACAGUCACUGAAUGGGGAGUUGAGAAGAGAUGUGCAAACUAGAUUCUUAAGAGACUGACUUCAUUUAGCAUACCAUUGCUGUGGGGCUGCUGUACUAUGUCAGAAAACUAUACCCAUGACUCUCAUCUAAGCCCAAACAAUGGAGCCAGCUGCUCCAAGAGCAACUCCAGGAAUUGAUGGGGACUUAGGGGUAUGGCUCCGUUAUUUCUUCAGUUAACAAAGUACUUUGUUCCUUUGAAUGGUUUUAGGUUCUUAUGCCCUGCUAGAUUUCUCUACUGAUUCCCACGUUUCUUAUUUUUUUCAAAAAUUCCUUUCUAUAUUGUUUGCUGGAAGCACCUUUUCUGGUUUUCCUGUGCUGCUUUGAAUUUAUUUUUCUAUUUCUUUGUGAUUUCAGUGGAAUUUGGAGAAGGAAUGGCAAAGCGGAAGUCCUUCUCCUAUUUGAUGUCUUAACUUGUUUUUACUGGAAGUCACUUCCUCUUUUGUCUCAGAGGCUGAUUCGCCUCCCAUAACCAGUGAUUUUCCUGUAAGCUCAUUAUCCUGGAUGAUGGCUUGACUAACCAAGGCUACUGGCUGCUGAGGGGUUUCUGAGGAAACUUUGGUAGCCUGAUUGAGGCCAUCUGCCUCUCCACCUGCACUGUAGUUGUGGAGUACACCACUCUGUUCAUGGAGGCCAUGCACACUGGCCAGAGAAGAGCAGCCCAUGUGCAAAAGGAUCCAAGUAAGCAUUUUCCAUUCUCACAGGUCAAAUAAGAGGACUUCCCACAUUUAUUCAGAAGGUAGUUGAAAGUGGUCAGCCCCAGAUCUCCCCUAUGUGACUCUUUGGUUGAUGCUACUUGUACCUCAACACUUGGAAGGCCCGUUCUGGACAGGAGCAACUUUCACUUUACUCUGGAAACGUGGGCAGGUGGGCACAGAAUAGAGUGAAUCUGAGGCAGAAACUCCUUCAGGCUAACUUUGUGACGGACACUGUUCUAAGUCUUCAGGUGAGUUAACUCAUUUAGUCUUCAAGACAAUCCUCUGAAGUAGGUAUUUUUAUCAUCCUCAGUUUACAGACACAGAAACUGAGACACAGAAAGGCCAUUCAGCCACUCAGUGGUUGAGGCAGGACUGACACUCAAGAAGUCUUGUGACAGUUGUAAUGAGUUAGUCGUGAUGGUGGCUACCAGGUAGGUGUGUGGAUAGAUAUGUAGUGGCCUCUCCUCCGAUGGAAAACUCCCAAAGCACUGAAACAGUCUGGUAGCUGUAGUUGCCGAGGUGUGUAGGGGCAUCGGUGAGCUCAGCAGACUGUGUUCCAAGUCACAUUAAAGAGGCAGAUUUAUUGCAAGCCUAUCUCCUAGAGACAGAAUGUAUUUUCCAAAAAUGGGCAACACACUGUGUCCCAUCUCACAUGCUGUUCUUAUAAUAUAACUUUGAUACUACAUUCUUAUUUAGAAAUGGAAGCCCAUGUUUCCUCCCUUUGAUGCUGGGCAGAAUUGUGACUACAAUGAAAAUAAUGCUAUAUGGCUUUUGAGGCUAGGUCCUAAAAGGUAAUGCAAUAUACGUACAGUUCUCUUGGAAUAUUUAAUAUUGAAAUCCGACCACCACGCUGUAAAGAAGACUGCAGCCCAUGGAGAAGUCCACACAGCCAGAAACUGAGGCCCAAGGCUCACAUCCCCAGCUGAGCUCCUGGCCUACAGCCAGCCCCAAGGUGCCGUCAUGUGAAUGAGACAUUUUGAAAGUGGAUCCCCCAGGCCCAGGCAAGCCAUUCCUGACAAUAAAAUGUGGAACAGAGAUGUGAUUCCUUUUUAAGACCUCCCCAAAUAACAGAUUCCUAAGCAAAAAUAAAGGACUGUUGUUGUU